This 253-nucleotide ribosomal RNA is filed under the name uncultured bacterium. Its description in RNAcentral is "partial 16S ribosomal RNA". It matches the Rfam family "Bacterial small subunit ribosomal RNA", at positions 524 to 776 of the family's 1533-position model. The record is from RNAcentral.
UACGUAGGGUGCAAGCGUUGUCCGGAAUUACUGGGCGUAAAGCGUGCGCAGGCGGUUUUGUAAGCCAGAUGUGAAAUCCCCGGGCUUAACCUGGGAAUGGCAUUUGGGACUGCAAGGCUGGAGUGCGGCAGAGGAGACUGGAAUUCCUGGUGUAGCAGUGGAAUGCGUAGAUAUCAGGAGGAACACCGAUGGCGAAGGCAGGUCUCUGGGCCGUAACUGACGCUGAGGAGCGAAAGCGUGGGGAGCGAACAGG